CCUACGGGAGGCAGCAGUGGGGAAUAUUGGACAAUGGGGGGAACCCUGAUCCAGCCAUGCCGCGUGUGUGAAGAAGGCCCUCGGGUUGUAAAGCACUUUCAGUGAGGAAGAACGCCUGGUGGUUAAUACCCAUCAGGAAAGACAUCACUCACAGAAGAAGCACCGGCUAACUCCGUGCCAGCAGCCGCGGUAAUACGGAGGGUGCGAGCGUUAAUCGGAAUUACUGGGCGUAAAGCGCGCGUAGGUGGCUUGAUAAGCCGGUUGUGAAAGCCCCGGGCUCAACCUGGGAACGGCAUCCGGAACUGUCAAGCUAGAGUGCAGGAGAGGAAGGUAGAAUUCCCGGUGUAGCGGUGAAAUGCGUAGAGAUCGGGAGGAAUACCAGUGGCGAAGGAGGCCUUCUGGACUGACACUGACACUGAGGUGCGAAAGCGUGGGUAGCAAACAGGAUUAGAUACCCUGGUAGUC
This 465-nucleotide ribosomal RNA is filed under the name Vreelandella stevensii. Its description in RNAcentral is "partial 16S ribosomal RNA". It matches the Rfam family "Bacterial small subunit ribosomal RNA", at positions 338 to 795 of the family's 1533-position model. The record is from RNAcentral. Lineage: Bacteria; Pseudomonadati; Pseudomonadota; Gammaproteobacteria; Oceanospirillales; Halomonadaceae.